RNAcentral lists this long non-coding RNA (1052 nucleotides) under Carassius auratus (goldfish). RNAcentral describes it as "lncRNA (ENSCARG00000017659.1)". The record is from RNAcentral. Lineage: Eukaryota; Metazoa; Chordata; Actinopteri; Cypriniformes; Cyprinidae.
CUGUCAUUUUCCACAUUCCCAGCUGCGGGAUUGUUUAGUCUUGUUGUUGAGUUUCGCCGCUGUGAUAAGGAGCAGGGUAAACACGGCCGGUGGGACCCGAGCGGGGUGCGCUCACACUGGGCUGACGGCCGGCCGACAACGCAGGCUGUGGCCCUCUCAACAAACACAGGCAGGUCAGGAAACAUCUGGGUGACUGAAAGCAACAGAUGCUGUAGCCCGAUAAGGGAAGCACUCUCCACCCCACUGAACCGGCCUCUCACACCUCCAGAACAAGCAGGACCAGGCCUCCAGCUUAUCGAGAUUUGGGAAAAAGUUACAAGAAAGAGUGGACAGUCUUAGCCUAGUAGCUCUUUACAGCCAAGGUCGUGAUCCCUGGGCCUGUUAAAGACCCCCUUGGGGUCGAGGCUGCAACCGGAUAUUUAAAAUAACAGUGUGAGGGUCCUGGUGGAGCCCCGUGCUGCGUGAGGAGGGAGCAGGAGAGGUUAGAGGUCAAGACACUGGCCAGCAUACAUCAACCAGUGCCAGCGCAGAGCCAACGACUCUAUCAGUGAUAAACAAAGAGAAGAAAUCCAGAACAAAUUAGUGCGAGAACAAUAAAACAAGCUGUUUAAAAUACAACUAGAGUCCAGAUUCGGAAAGAGUGUGUGCUGUGCCCUUCUCCAUUCACUCUCCUCCUCCUCCUCCUCCAUACACAGACCUGACACCCAGACUCUAACUCAUGUGUGCAGCUUGGGGCUCAUACUCCCCGAGCGAGAAACAGGGGUGACGGGGAGUUACUAUCCACCUUAAGGUGAAAGCCAUAUGUGCUGAUCUGAACAAUCUGAGGUCAUCUCUCACAGGGCAGUAAGUUACAGUUACCCUCAUGUAACUCGGGAAGCACUUGGGAAAACACUACUGCACCGCUGCAAAGAUGCAGUGAUAAACCUGAUCAGGAUUUCCACAUCAGUAUUUUUUUUUUAAUUUUUUUUGUAUAAACGUGAUCAUGUUUACAUUUAAAUGUUGCCAAUUCAUCCACAUUGUAAAUUUGUGCGUCUAGCUGAACUAAAAAAAAU